Molecule: ribosomal RNA, 1490 nt
Filed under: Helicobacter pylori Hp H-11
Lineage: Bacteria; Pseudomonadati; Campylobacterota; Epsilonproteobacteria; Campylobacterales; Helicobacteraceae
Description: bacterial SSU rRNA
Rfam family: Bacterial small subunit ribosomal RNA
Source: RNAcentral
GAGUUUGAUCCUGGCUCAGAGUGAACGCUGGCGGCGUGCCUAAUACAUGCAAGUCGAACGAUGAAGCUUCUAGCUUGCUAGAAUGCUAAUUAGUGGCGCACGGGUGAGUAACGCAUAGGUCAUGUGCCUCUUAGUUUGGGAUAGCCAUUGGAAACGAUGAUUAAUACCAGAUACUCCCUACGGGGGAAAGAUUUAUCGCUAAGAGAUCAGCCUAUGUCCUAUCAGCUUGUUGGUAAGGUAAUGGCUUACCAAGGCUAUGACGGGUAUCCGGCCUGAGAGGGUGAACGGACACACUGGAACUGAGACACGGUCCAGACUCCUACGGGAGGCAGCAGUAGGGAAUAUUGCUCAAUGGGGGAAACCCUGAAGCAGCAACGCCGCGUGGAGGAUGAAGGUUUUAGGAUUGUAAACUCCUUUUGUUAGAGAAGAUAAUGACGGUAUCUAACGAAUAAGCACCGGCUAACUCCGUGCCAGCAGCCGCGGUAAUACGGAGGGUGCAAGCGUUACUCGGAAUCACUGGGCGUAAAGAGCGCGUAGGCGGGAUAGUCAGUCAGGUGUGAAAUCCUAUGGCUUAACCAUAGAACUGCAUUUGAAACUACUAUUCUAGAGUGUGGGAGAGGUAGGUGGAAUUCUUGGUGUAGGGGUAAAAUCCGUAGAGAUCAAGAGGAAUACUCAUUGCGAAGGCGACCUGCUGGAACAUUACUGACGCUGAUUGCGCGAAAGCGUGGGGAGCAAACAGGAUUAGAUACCCUGGUAGUCCACGCCCUAAACGAUGGAUGCUAGUUGUUGGAGGGCUUAGUCUCUCCAGUAAUGCAGCUAACGCAUUAAGCAUCCCGCCUGGGGAGUACGGUCGCAAGAUUAAAACUCAAAGGAAUAGACGGGGACCCGCACAAGCGGUGGAGCAUGUGGUUUAAUUCGAAGAUACACGAAGAACCUUACCUAGGCUUGACAUUGAGAGAAUCCGCUAGAAAUAGUGGAGUGUCUAGCUUGCUAGACCUUGAAAACAGGUGCUGCACGGCUGUCGUCAGCUCGUGUCGUGAGAUGUUGGGUUAAGUCCCGCAACGAGCGCAACCCCCUUUCUUAGUUGCUAACAGGUCAUGCUGAGAACUCUAAGGAUACUGCCUCCGUAAGGAGGAGGAAGGUGGGGACGACGUCAAGUCAUCAUGGCCCUUACGCCUAGGGCUACACACGUGCUACAAUGGGGUGCACAAAGAGAAGCAAUACUGCGAAGUGGAGCCAAUCUUCAAAACGCCUCUCAGUUCGGAUUGUAGGCUGCAACUCGCCUGCAUGAAGCUGGAAUCGCUAGUAAUCGCAAAUCAGCCAUGUUGCGGUGAAUACGUUCCCGGGUCUUGUACUCACCGCCCGUCACACCAUGGGAGUUGUGUUUGCCUUAAGUCAGGAUGCUAAACUAGCUACUGCCCACGGCACACACAGCGACUGGGGUGAAGUCGUAACAAGGUAACCGUAGGUGAACCUGCGGUUGGAUCACC